Molecule: ribosomal RNA, 372 nt
Filed under: uncultured bacterium
Lineage: Bacteria
Description: bacterial SSU rRNA
Rfam family: Bacterial small subunit ribosomal RNA
Source: RNAcentral
AACGAACGCUGGCGGCAGGCUUAACACAUGCAAGUCGAACGGGCGUAGCAAUACGUCAGUGGCAGACGGGUGAGUAACACGUGGGAACCUUCCUAGGGGUACGGAACAACUCAGGGAAACUUGAGCUAAUACCGUAUACGUCCGUAAGGAGAAAGAUUCAUCGCCCCUAGACGGGCCCGCGUCGGAUUAGGUAGUUGGUGGGGUAACGGCCUACCAAGCCUACGAUCCGUAGCUGAUCUGAGAGGAUGAUCAGCCACACUGGGACUGAGACACGGCCCAGACUCCUACGGGAGGCAGCAGUGGGGAAUCUUGGACAAUGGGCGCAAGCCUGAUCCAGCCAUGCCGCGUGAGUGAAGAAGGCCUUAGGGUUGU